Molecule: ribosomal RNA, 440 nt
Filed under: uncultured Alphaproteobacteria bacterium
Lineage: Bacteria; Pseudomonadati; Pseudomonadota; Alphaproteobacteria
Description: bacterial SSU rRNA
Rfam family: Bacterial small subunit ribosomal RNA
Source: RNAcentral
CCUACGGGUGGCUGCAGUGGGGAAUAUUGGACAAUGGGGGCAACCCUGAUCCAGCAAUGCCGCGUGCGUGAAGAAGGCCUUAGGGUUGUAAAGCGCUUUCGCCCGCGACGAUGAUGACGGUAGCGGGAGAAGAAGCCCCGGCUAACUCCGUGCCAGCAGCCGCGGUAAUACGGAGGGGGCGAGCGUUGUUCGGAAUUACUGGGCGUAAAGGGCGCGUAGGCGGCCUUGUCAGUCAGGCGUGAAAGCCCCGGGCUCAACCUGGGAUGUGCGCUUGAUACUGCAAGGCUUGAGACCGGAAGAGGAUGGCGGAAUACCCAGUGUAGAGGUGAAAUUCGUAGAUAUUGGGUGGAACACCAGUGGCGAAGGCGGCCAUCUGGUCCGGAUCUGACGCUGAGGCGCGAAAGCGUGGGGAGCAAACAGGAUUAGAUACCCUUGUAGUC